Molecule: ribosomal RNA, 253 nt
Filed under: uncultured bacterium
Lineage: Bacteria
Description: partial 16S ribosomal RNA
Rfam family: Bacterial small subunit ribosomal RNA
Source: RNAcentral
UACGUAGGGUGCAAGCGUUGUCCGGAAUUAUUGGGCGUAAAGAGCUCGUAGGCGGUCUGUCGCGUCGAAUGUGAAAACCCGGGGCUCAACCCCGGGCCUGCAUUCGAUACGGGCAGGCUAGAGUUCGGUAGGGGAGUCUGGAAUUCCUGGUGUAGCGGUGAAAUGCGCAGAUAUCAGGAGGAACACCGGUGGCGAAGGCGGGACUCUGGACCGAUACUGACGCUGAGGAGCGAAAGCGUGGGGAGCAAACAGG